RNAcentral lists this ribosomal RNA (562 nucleotides) under Daphnia pulex (common water flea). RNAcentral describes it as "partial 12S ribosomal RNA". The stretch from base 192 to 562 matches the Rfam family "Microsporidia small subunit ribosomal RNA", at positions 752 to 1278 of the family's 1311-position model. The record is from RNAcentral. Lineage: Eukaryota; Metazoa; Arthropoda; Branchiopoda; Diplostraca; Daphniidae.
UUAGACGAAGAAUUUUAGUAGAGUAAAAGUUUUGUUUAGUUAACAUUCGAUCUCGUAAAAGAUGGUGAAAUUUUGUUGAUAAGGUGAAAUUUUUAAUUUAAGGGAAAUUCUUAAGAAAUCUGUUGAGACUAAAAAAUUUAGGUAAAAAACCAGGAUUAGAUACCCUGUUAUUCUAAAUAAUAGUGUAAAUAGGGUAGUAAAAGUUGUUCUUCAAACCCAAAGAUUUUGGCGGCAUCUUAUCCUAAUAGAGGAGCUUGUCCUAUAAUUGAUAGUCCCCAUUUUAUCUUACCCUUUUUUGUUAAGCUUGUAUACCGCCGUUGUCAGAUUACUUUAAAAGAACGUUUUCAGGAAAAAUAUUUUUCUUACUUCAGGUCAAGGUGCAGUUUAUAAAAGGGCAGUGAUGAGCUACAAUUUUUAAUAGAAAUACGGAUUUUAGGCUUAAAACUCAGGUGAAGGUGGAUUUAUUAGUAAAUUUACUUAAGUACAGUAAGUUGAAUAAGGCAAUAGGAUGUGCACAUAUCGCCCGUCACUCUCUUCUCAAGAGGAGAUAAGUCGUAACAAA